ACCUUCAUUCUGCAUUAACCUUUUAAGCUCUUUUGUGUGCAUGCUUUGAGUUCUAGGGAAGAAGUAUGGUACAAUUUCUCUAUGGUAAAGUAAAGUAUCAAUCUACAGAGGAAAGGUAAUAGCUGACAAGAUUUGUCAUCUGAGGCAUUUAUCCUGCAGGUUUACCCCAAAGUGAUCGUUGGAAUCCAUUCAGUAAAUAUGCAAGGAAUUUUGCUACAGUGAUAAAAAAUGAAUCAAGUGCUGCAUGUUUACACAUGUCCUGCAGCUGAAUGAAGUGGACAUUUCUACCCAGUUUUACAGAGGAGGAAAACUGCAUCUCUGGAAAAUGAAGUAAUUGAUUCAAGGCAAAAACAGCUAGUAAAUGGUACUGUCAGGAUUUAUAUUCAGGUUCUUAUUUUACUCAAGAAAUAGCAUUUUUAAAAAGAGCGAGAGAAACCUCUCCAUUGUGUAAUAAAAAUUCCAAUGUGACUCUUAUUCUGAGCAAAAGAGAAAAACAUUUUUACAGAUCAUCUGGUCAGUGUAUAGGCAAACUAUAGACUGGCUGUUUAGUUAAAUUUAGGUGUUCAGAAAAAAUAGAUUUGAUGUACAUAGAUACUAACAUUUUUAAGCUCUUUUCUAAGGAGGACCAUGGUGUAACCCAUUCCUAAAGUGUGGAGAAAAAUGUUUCUCAUUAAAACAAGAUUUAUGAAGAGACUAACAAUUUGGAAAAAAAAAAUGAAAUUGUCCAGUAAUUGAUCUGGUCAUUCAAAUAAUUACUAUCAGAAGAAAGGCCCCUUCUCUUGCCACCUUGCCCUAGAAUCAAGAGACUGCCCUUGCCUUUGUCCACAUAUAUCUUAGAUGACUAUUAGCCAUUUUCAUCUGUAGCUCAGGGAUCUAAGAAAACUGUGGACAACAGACACUACAGUUAUAUUUCCUCCCCUGUGUUGCCUGUUAGUUGCAAAUUAGAACAGAAAUUCCAAAAACCUUUAUACUGUUUUUGGAUGAUGACAGGAGAGACUUCCUUAAAAAAAAGAGGAUACAACUAAGGGAUUUCCACAAAAUCCCCGUUGUCAGAAUCCUGGAAGAGGUAACAUUUCUGCUUUUUCAAUAUUAAAAUAGAAAUUAAUUUUUUUAAAAAAAUAGAGAACUUGAACUAGAUAGAAUUUGAAAAAUGUUAAGGUUAUUUGUUUUGUGUGAGCUUUCUCCUUAAAAAAAAAAA
Long non-coding RNA from Cebus imitator (Panamanian white-faced capuchin), 1198 nucleotides. RefSeq lists it as uncharacterized. Lineage: Eukaryota; Metazoa; Chordata; Mammalia; Primates; Cebidae. The transcript is spliced from 2 exons. The record is from RefSeq and is a predicted model, not a curated record.